AAAUUGAAGAGUUUGAUCAUGGCUCAGAUUGAACGCUGGCGGCAGGCCUAACACAUGCAAGUCGAACGGUAACAGGGAUCAGCUUGCUGAUUCGCUGACGAGUGGCGGACGGGUGAGUAAUGUCUGGGAAACUGCCUGAUGGAGGGGGAUAACUACUGGAAACGGUAGCUAAUACCGCAUAACGUCGCAAGACCAAAGAGGGGGACCUUCGGGCCUCUUGCCAUCGGAUGUGCCCAGAUGGGAUUAGCUAGUAGGUGGGGUAACGGCUCACCUAGGCGACGAUCCCUAGCUGGUCUGAGAGGAUGACCAG
RNAcentral lists this ribosomal RNA (310 nucleotides) under Escherichia coli. RNAcentral's name for it is "bacterial SSU rRNA". It matches the Rfam family "Bacterial small subunit ribosomal RNA", at positions 1 to 307 of the family's 1533-position model. Lineage: Bacteria; Pseudomonadati; Pseudomonadota; Gammaproteobacteria; Enterobacterales; Enterobacteriaceae. The record is from RNAcentral.